GUGGGGAAUUUUGGACAAUGGGGGCAACCCUGAUCCAGCCAUUCCGCGUGAGUGAAGAAGGCCUUCGGGUUGUAAAGCUCUUUCAGCAGGAACGAAACGGUACGCGCUAACAUCGUGUGCUAAUGACGGUACCUGCAGAAGAAGCACCGGCUAACUACGUGCCAGCAGCCGCGGUAAUACGUAGGGUGCGAGCGUUAAUCGGAAUUACUGGGCGUAAAGCGUGCGCAGGCGGAUUGUUAAGCAAGACGUGAAAUCCCCGGGCUUAACCUGGGAAUGGCGUUUUGAACUGGCAGUCUAGAGUGUGUCAGAGGGGGGUGGAAUUCCACGUGUAGCAGUGAAAUGCGUAGAGAUGUGGAGGAACACCAAUGGCGAAGGCAGCCCCCUGGGAUAACACUGACGCUCAUGUACGAAAGCGUGGGUAGCAAACAGGAUUAGAAACCCUAGUAGUCC
RNAcentral lists this ribosomal RNA (450 nucleotides) under uncultured prokaryote. RNAcentral describes it as "bacterial SSU rRNA". It matches the Rfam family "Bacterial small subunit ribosomal RNA", at positions 354 to 796 of the family's 1533-position model. The record is from RNAcentral.